AUAUUUGUUCAGCAGGGAAAACACCAUGAUCACAAAGGUGGUUUCUACAAGGCAAGGCUCCUACAUUACACUGCACAUGUGCAGAUCUCUGGGAUUUCUCCAAAUACAGAAAACACAGUAGUAGCAAAAUGUAUGGUACUGAGGGGCUGUGUUUGCACUCAGCCCAGU
Molecule: small nuclear RNA, 168 nt
Organism: Nannospalax galili (Upper Galilee mountains blind mole rat)
Lineage: Eukaryota; Metazoa; Chordata; Mammalia; Rodentia; Spalacidae
Gene: U1
Rfam family: U1 spliceosomal RNA
About the family: U1 is a small nuclear RNA (snRNA) component of the spliceosome (involved in pre-mRNA splicing). Its 5' end forms complementary base pairs with the 5' splice junction, thus defining the 5' donor site of an intron. There are significant differences in sequence and secondary structure between metazoan and yeast U1 snRNAs, the latter being much longer (568 nucleotides as compared to 164 nucleotides in human).
Source: Ensembl